Molecule: ribosomal RNA, 1746 nt
Filed under: Triticum aestivum (bread wheat)
Lineage: Eukaryota; Viridiplantae; Streptophyta; Magnoliopsida; Poales; Poaceae
Description: partial small subunit ribosomal RNA
Source: RNAcentral
AUGUCAGUGGCGGCACCGCACCGCGUCACUUUUCACCGCCCCCAGGAAAACCAGCCUUCUCCCGCCCGCCUUAUUGGCUCGCUGUCUCCUCCCCUCCUCUCCCCUCGCCGUCGAUCGACCGGCCGACCGACCGAGAUGGCGCCGGCCGCGCGUCUCCGCCUCCUCGCCUCAUGCCGCCUCUUUUCGGCGCUUUCCGGGACGGUGCCGCGGUGCCGGCGAGGUCUCCGAGGCCUGAGCACGCUCUCCUCGACGUUGGGGUCGGGCGCCGGCGAGGACGAGAUCGAGCGCAUCCGCCGCGAGUUCGAGGACGCCAAGCGCAACUACCUCAGCAUCCCGGACGCCAUCAAGGACAUGCCCAAGAUGAACCCGCAAGGCAUUUAUGUGAACAAGAACGUCAAACUGGACGACCUGCAAGUCUAUGGCUUCGACUACGAUUACACGCUGUCGCACUACUCCGACCACCUGCAGUGCUUGAUCUAUGAUCUCGCCAAGAAGCACCUGGUCAAUGAGUUGAAGUAUCCAGAGAGCUGCUUGCAGUACGACUACGACAGUAGCUUUCCUGUCAGGGGCCUUUACUAUGACAAACUAAAAGGGUGCCUUCUGAAGCUUGAUUUCUUCGGUUCUAUUGAACCCGAUGGCUGCUUCUUUGGAAGACGAAAGCUAAGUUCAACUGAGAUAAAAGAACUCUACGGCACAAGACAUAUCGGAAGAGAUCAAGCUCGUCAGCUUGUUGGGCUGAUGGAUGUUUUCUGUUUUAGCGAGGCAUGCCUCAUUGCAGAUAUUGUUCAGCACUUCGUAGAUGCCAAGCUGGAGUUUGAUGCUCCUUAUGUAUAUGAGGAUGUAAACCAAGCGAUUCAGCAUGUCCACAGAAGUGGUUUAGUUCACAGAAAAGUUCUUUCAGAGCCUCAGAAAUUUCUGUUAAAAAAUAGCCAGGUGUUUCGUUUCUUAAAGACCCUACGAGAGAAGGGGAAAAAGCUGUUUCUUCUUACCAACUCACCUUUCUACUUUGUGGAUGGAGGGAUGAGUUAUUUACUAGAGGACCAGCAUUUUGAUGGGAAUUCCUGGAGGGAGCUUUUUGACGUUGUGAUUGCGCAGGCAAAUAAACCAAGUUUCUAUAAUUCAGACCACCCAUUCAGGGUGUAUGACACUGAAAAGGACACCUUAGCAUUUACUGCAGUUGACAAGUUUCUGCCAAAUGAAGUCUAUUACCAUGGAUGUUUAAAAUCCUUUCUGCAGAUUACAAAGUGGAGAGGCCCAGAGGUGAUAUACUUUGGUGAUCAUCUUUUCAGCGACUUGAGAGGGCCUUCCAAAGCUGGUUGGCGAACAGCUGCCGUUAUUCGUGAACUUGAGGAUGAAAUAGGAAUCCAGAAUGGUGACAGCUACCGGUUCCAACAGGCAAAAUUAGGUAUAAUACAUGAUCUACUUGGAAAGGUUCAUGCAACUGUGGUUAGCACCGAGAAAGGCCAAGUUUACAGAACAUUGCUUGAUGAGUUGAAUGCAGAAAGGCGUCAAUGUCGAUCUGGCAUGCGAGAUCUGUUUAAUAGUUCUUUUGGUGCAACAUUCCUUACAGACACAGGAAAGGAAUCAUCAUUUGCCUAUCACAUUCAUCAAUAUGCAGAUAUCUACACCAGCAAGCUCGAGAACUUCUUGUCAUAUGCCCCUGAAUCAUGGCUUCAUCCACCUCACGACAUAAAGAUCAUGCCACAUAAUGCAAAGGUGCCAGCGAGUUUGUUCAGCACCUCAUAG